Long non-coding RNA from Saccostrea cuccullata (small rock oyster), 171 nucleotides. RefSeq lists it as uncharacterized. NCBI's taxonomy places the organism in Eukaryota, Metazoa, Mollusca, Bivalvia, Ostreida, Ostreidae. The transcript is spliced from 3 exons. The record is from RefSeq and is a predicted model, not a curated record.
AAAUGUUUUUACUUUUUUCACAUUUAGAGAAGAAGGAUGCUACAGAACCCGAAGAUAUAAAGGCAUAUACAGGCCCACCAAAAACAAAACUUAUGAGGAAAAAGAAUAAGAAACAUUCAACAUUAAACUCUGGAAAAAAGGAAUACAGUUUGAUUGAAGAACUGAUAAAGG